GCUGGGUGUGGUGGUGCUCGCCUGUAAUCCCAGCAGCUCAGGAGGCUGAGGCAGGAGAAUUGCAAGUUCAAAGCCAGCCUCAGCAAUUUUUCAAGGCACUAAGCAACUCAGUGAGACCCUGUCUCCA
This 127-nucleotide small RNA is filed under the name Marmota monax (woodchuck). Lineage: Eukaryota; Metazoa; Chordata; Mammalia; Rodentia; Sciuridae. The record is from RNAcentral.